GAUGAACGCUGGCGGCGUGCUUAACACAUGCAAGUCGAACGGUGAACACGGAGCUUGCUCUGUGGGAUCAGUGGCGAACGGGUGAGUAACACGUGAGCAACCUGCCCCUGACUCUGGGAUAAGCGCUGGAAACGGCGUCUAAUACUGGAUAUGUGACGUGACCGCAUGGUCUGCGUUUGGAAAGAUUUUUCGGUUGGGGAUGGGCUCGCGGCCUAUCAGCUUGUUGGUGAGGUAAUGGCUCACCAAGGCGUCGACGGGUAGCCGGCCUGAGAGGGUGACCGGCCACACUGGGACUGAGACACGGCCCAGACUCCUACGAGAGGCAGCAGUGGGGAAUAUUGCACAAUGGGCGCAAGCCUGAUGCAGCAACGCCGCGUGAGGGAUGACGGCCUUCGGGUUGUAAACCUCUUUUAGCAGGGAAGAAGCGAAAGUGACGGUACCUGCAGAAAAAGCGCCGGCUAACUACGUG
This 469-nucleotide ribosomal RNA is filed under the name uncultured bacterium. RNAcentral's name for it is "partial 16S ribosomal RNA". It matches the Rfam family "Bacterial small subunit ribosomal RNA", at positions 28 to 507 of the family's 1533-position model. The record is from RNAcentral.